AGCGUACACGGUGGAUGCCCUGGCAGUCAGAGGCGAUGAAGGACGUGCUAAUCUGCGAUAAGCGCCGGUAAGGUGAUAUGAACCGUUAUAACCGGCGAUUUCCGAAUGGGGAAACCCAGUGUGAUUCGUCACACUAUCAUUAACUGAAUCCAUAGGUUAAUGAGGCGAACCGGGGGAACUGAAACAUCUAAGUACCCCGAGGAAAAGAAAUCAACCGAGAUUCCCCCAGUAGCGGCGAGCGAACGGGGAGGAGCCCAGAGCCUGAAUCAGCAUGUGUGUUAGUGGAAGCGUCUGGAAAGGCGCGCGAUACAGGGUGACAGCCCCGUACACAAAAGCGCAUGUGCUGUGAGCUCGAUGAGUAGGGCGGGACACGUGGUAUCCUGUCUGAAUAUGGGGGGACCAUCCUCCAAGGCUAAAUACUCCUGACUGACCGAUAGUGAACCAGUACCGUGAGGGAAAGGCGAAAAGAACCCCGGCGAGGGGAGUGAAAAAGAACCUGAAACCGUGUACGUACAAGCAGUGGGAGCACCCUUCGGGGUGUGACUGCGUACCUUUUGUAUAAUGGGUCAGCGACUUAUAUUCUGUAGCAAGGUUAACCGUAUAGGGGAGCCGGAGGGAAACCGAGUCUUAAUUGGGCGUUAAGUUGCAGGGUAUAGACCCGAAACCCGGUGAUCUAGCCAUGGGCAGGUUGAAGGUUGGGUAACACUAACUGGAGGACCGAACCGACUAAUGUUGAAAAAUUAGCGGAUGACCUGUGGCUGGGGGUGAAAGGCCAAUCAAACCGGGAGAUAGCUGGUUCUCCCCGAAAGCUAUUUAGGUAGCGCCUCGUGAAUUCAUCUCCGGGGGUAGAGCACUGUUUCGGCUAGGGGGCCAUCCCGGCUUACCAACCCGAUGCAAACUGCGAAUACCGGAGAAUGUUAUCACGGGAGACACACGGCGGGUGCUAACGUCCGUCGUGAAGAGGGAAACAACCCAGACCGCCAGCUAAGGUCCCAAAGUCAUGGUUAAGUGGGAAACGAUGUGGGAAGGCCCAGACAGCCAGGAUGUUGGCUUAGAAGCAGCCAUCAUUUAAAGAAAGCGUAAUAGCUCACUGGUCGAGUCGGCCUGCGCGGAAGAUGUAACGGGGCUAAACCAUGCACCGAAGCUGCGGCAGCGAACGUAUCACCCAAGACAACUUUACGGAGUUGACGAUUGACGGAGCGAAGCGACGUCAAAGCGUUCAUUAAAGUCGAGUUGGCUUAGGGAUACGUUCGUUGGGUAGGGGAGCGUUCUGUAAGCCUGUGAAGGUGUGUCGUGAGGCAUGCUGGAGGUAUCAGAAGUGCGAAUGCUGACAUAAGUAACGAUAAAGCGGGUGAAAAGCCCGCUCGCCGGAAGACCAAGGGUUCCUGUCCAACGUUAAUCGGGGCAGGGUGAGUCGACCCCUAAGGCGAGGCCGAAAGGCGUAGUCGAUGGGAAACGGGUUAAUAUUCCCGUACUUGGUGUUACUGCGAAGGGGGGACGGAGAAGGCUAUGUUGGCCGGGCGACGGUUGUCCCGGUUUAAGCGUGUAGGUGUGUGUUCCAGGUAAAUCCGGUUCACUUUAACACUGAGGCGUGACGACGAGGCACUACGGUGCUGAAGCAACAAAUGCCCUGCUUCCAGGAAAAGCCUCUAAGCAUCAGGUAACAUCAAAUCGUACCCCAAACCGACACAGGUGGUCAGGUAGAGAAUACCAAGGCGCUUGAGAGAACUCGGGUGAAGGAACUAGGCAAAAUGGUGCCGUAACUUCGGGAGAAGGCACGCUGACACGUAGGUGAAGUGAUUUACUCAUGGAGCUGAAGUCAGUCGAAGAUACCAGCUGGCUGCAACUGUUUAUUAAAAACACAGCACUGUGCAAACACGAAAGUGGACGUAUACGGUGUGACGCCUGCCCGGUGCCGGAAGGUUAAUUGAUGGGGUCAGCGCAAGCGAAGCUCCUGAUCGAAGCCCCGGUAAACGGCGGCCGUAACUAUAACGGUCCUAAGGUAGCGAAAUUCCUUGUCGGGUAAGUUCCGACCUGCACGAAUGGCGUAAUGAUGGCCAGGCUGUCUCCACCCGAGACUCAGUGAAAUUGAACUCGCUGUGAAGAUGCAGUGUACCCGCGGCAAGACGGAAAGACCCCGUGAACCUUUACUAUAGCUUGACACUGAACAUUGAGCCUUGAUGUGUAGGAUAGGUGGGAGGCUUUGAAGUGUGGACGCCAGUCUGCAUGGAGCCGACCUUGAAAUACCACCCUUUAAUGUUUGAUGUUCUAACGUGGACCCGUAAUCCGGGUUGCGGACAGUGUCUGGUGGGUAGUUUGACUGGGGCGGUCUCCUCCUAAAGAGUAACGGAGGAGCACGAAGGUUGGCUAAUCCUGGUCGGACAUCAGGAGGUUAGUGCAAUGGCAUAAGCCAGCUUGACUGCGAGCGUGACGGCGCGAGCAGGUGCGAAAGCAGGUCAUAGUGAUCCGGUGGUUCUGAAUGGAAGGGCCAUCGCUCAACGGAUAAAAGGUACUCCGGGGAUAACAGGCUGAUACCGCCCAAGAGUUCAUAUCGACGGCGGUGUUUGGCACCUCGAUGUCGGCUCAUCACAUCCUGGGGCUGAAGUAGGUCCCAAGGGUAUGGCUGUUCGCCAUUUAAAGUGGUACGCGAGCUGGGUUUAGAACGUCGUGAGACAGUUCGGUCCCUAUCUGCCGUGGGCGCUGGAGAACUGAGGGGGGCUGCUCCUAGUACGAGAGGACCGGAGUGGACGCAUCACUGGUGUUCGGGUUGUCAUGCCAAUGGCACUGCCCGGUAGCUAAAUGCGGAAGAGAUAAGUGCUGAAAGCAUCUAAGCACGAAACUUGCCCCGAGAUGAGUUCU
RNAcentral lists this ribosomal RNA (2859 nucleotides) under Salmonella enterica subsp. enterica serovar Typhimurium str. DT2. RNAcentral describes it as "bacterial LSU rRNA". It matches the Rfam family "Bacterial large subunit ribosomal RNA". Lineage: Bacteria; Pseudomonadati; Pseudomonadota; Gammaproteobacteria; Enterobacterales; Enterobacteriaceae. The record is from RNAcentral.